UAUAUUUGAGAGUUUGAUCCUGGCUCAGGAUGAACGCUGGCGGCGUGCCUAACACAUGCAAGUCGAGCGAACCCUUCGGGGUGAGCGGCGGACGGGUGAGUAACGCGUGGGUAACCUGCCCUGUACACACGGAUAACAUACCGAAAGGUAUGCUAAUACGGGAUAACAUAUGAGAGUCGCAUGGCUUUUGUAUCAAAGCUCCGGCGGUACAGGAUGGACCCGCGUCUGAUUAGCUAGUUGGUAAGGUAACGGCUUACCAAGGCAACGAUCAGUAGCCGACCUGAGAGGGUGAUCGGCCACAUUGGAACUGAGACACGGUCCAAACUCCUACGGGAGGCAGCAGUGGGGAAUAUUGCACAAUGGGCGAAAGCCUGAUGCAGCAACGCCGCGUGAGCGAUGAAGGCCUUCGGGUCGUAAAGCUCUGUCCUCAAGGAAGAUAAUGACGGUACUUGAGGAGGAAGCCCCGGCUAACUACGUGCCAGCAGCCGCGGUAAUACGUAGGGGGCUAGCGUUAUCCGGAAUUACUGGGCGUAAAGGGUGCGUAGGCGGUCUUUCAAGCCAGAAGUGAAAGGCUACGGCUCAACCGUAGUAAGCUUUUGGAACUGUAGGACUUGAGUGCAGGAGAGGAGAGUGGAAUUCCUAGUGUAGCGGUGAAAUGCGUAGAUAUUAGGAGGAACACCAGUAGCGAAGGCGGCUCUCUGGACUGUAACUGACGCUGAGGCACGAAAGCGUGGGGAGCAAACAGGAUUAGAUACCCUGGUAGUCCACGCCGUAAACG
This 778-nucleotide ribosomal RNA is filed under the name Turicibacter sanguinis. Its description in RNAcentral is "bacterial SSU rRNA". It matches the Rfam family "Bacterial small subunit ribosomal RNA", at positions 1 to 808 of the family's 1533-position model. The record is from RNAcentral. RNAcentral also lists the same sequence under 1 other name. Lineage: Bacteria; Bacillati; Bacillota; Erysipelotrichia; Erysipelotrichales; Turicibacteraceae.